CAGGCAUUUAAAUGUUUAUUUUAAAAAUUAUUGACAAAAAAACCAUACAAUUUUCAUAAUCAUGUAAAUAGUUUUUUAAAACACUGUUCCUAUCUGACACAUUGUUAUCUUUUGUUUUGUUUCCUCCUAAAUAUAACACUUUCAAGUCCUAACAUUGGUGACUCAAACGCUAAUGACGUCACAAAAGCGGCCAUAAACGACAACACAAUAUGUCCAACAAUCUCGUAAAUCUGUAAAACAAAACAAACCGAUUUUG
RNAcentral lists this long non-coding RNA (256 nucleotides) under Mytilus galloprovincialis (Mediterranean mussel). Lineage: Eukaryota; Metazoa; Mollusca; Bivalvia; Mytilida; Mytilidae. The record is from RNAcentral.